This 65-nucleotide transfer RNA is filed under the name Dipodomys ordii (Ord's kangaroo rat). It matches the Rfam family "tRNA". From Rfam's summary of the family: Transfer RNA (tRNA) molecules are approximately 80 nucleotides in length. Their secondary structure includes four short double-helical elements and three loops (D, anti-codon, and T loops). Further hydrogen bonds mediate the characteristic L-shaped molecular structure. tRNAs have two regions of fundamental functional importance: the anti-codon, which is responsible for specific mRNA codon recognition, and the 3' end, to which the tRNAs corresponding amino acid is attached (by aminoacyl-tRNA synthetases). tRNAs cope with the degeneracy of the genetic code in two manners: having more than one tRNA (with a specific anti-codon) for a particular amino acid; and 'wobble' base-pairing, i.e. permitting non-standard base-pairing at the 3rd anti-codon position. The record is from Rfam by way of RNAcentral. Lineage: Eukaryota; Metazoa; Chordata; Mammalia; Rodentia; Heteromyidae.
GGUGGCUCAGUGGUAGAGCAUUUGCCUUGCAUGCAUGAGGCCCUGGGUUCAAUUCUUCAGCACCA